GAUGAACGCUGGCGGCGUGCCUAAUACAUGCAAGUAGAACGCUGAAGGAAGGAGCUUGCUCUUUCCGGAUGAGUUGCGCACGGGUGAGUAACGCGUAGGUAACCUGCCUGGUAGCGGGGGAUAACUAUUGGAAACGAUAGCUAAUACCGCAUAACAGUAGAUGUUGCAUGAUAUCUACUUAAAAGGUGCAAUUGCACCACUACCAGAUGGACCUGCGUUGUAUUAGCUAGUUGGUGAGGUAACGGCUCACCAAGGCGACGAUACAUAGCCGACCUGAGAGGGUGAUCGGCCACACUGGGACUGAGACACGGCCCAGACUCCUACGGGAGGCAGCAGUAGGGAAUCUUCGGCAAUGGACGGAAGUCUGACCGAGCAACGCCGCGUGAGUGAAGAAGGUUUUCGGAUCGUAAAGCUCUGUUGUAAGAGAAGAACGAGUGUGAGAGUGGAAAGUUCACACUGUGACGGUAUCUUACUAGAAAGGGACGGCUAACUACGUG
Molecule: ribosomal RNA, 497 nt
Filed under: uncultured bacterium
Lineage: Bacteria
Description: partial 16S ribosomal RNA
Rfam family: Bacterial small subunit ribosomal RNA
Source: RNAcentral